Picea glauca (white spruce) is the source of this 133-nucleotide non-coding RNA. The record is from Rfam. NCBI's taxonomy places the organism in Eukaryota, Viridiplantae, Streptophyta, Pinopsida, Pinales, Pinaceae.
AUAAUCGUAGAAAGGAGAGAUGGUUGGCAUCUCCCUCGACUAGGAUGGGAACACUCUUUAGACAUUAUAUCACAUACGGUUAAGGCAUGGAGGAGAGGUAGGUAGCAUGAUAGGUAUUGUGUGAUUUCUUUUA